CCCGGGCCUCCAGGUCCCAGUUUGCGUAUCCCUGAGGCAGUCCUGCGGCCUCUGGAACAAAGAUCAUUGGGAUUCCACCCUGCCUCGCUCUCUGGCACAGCCUGUCCACCAGGCCUGCGGAUGUCUGAUCCUGGGUCAUCUGCCUUACCCGCUUGUUCCCUGGCUUCGAACGGAAUGGAUGACUUUGCCUCAGGCAUGCUAACCUUCUCCUCCAGAAGCCCACAAUUCGUAUGGGGCGAGAAUUCAUAUGAAGAAACAGAGGAAAGGGAACCUCUGCCACUCCAGUGCAGCCUGACAUUCCUGAGAUGCCUCAAGACACAGCUAAACAAAUGUUGUAGGUCCUUCUGCUUCUGCUAUGUGGAUGCUGCUUCAGCAUGGCUUGAUGAGAUCCAUUCCCAGGAUCUGAACUGGUGAAGCCCUGGGCUGCUGAAGCAGAGCAUGUGAACUUAACCAUUCGGCCACGGGGCCUUCUUGGUUUUUGGUUUCCACCCACCACCGUGAUGUCAGACUCUCUUUGACUUUGAGAGUCUCCUCUGGCAGAGAAGGGAGGUAGAAAUCUCUUCAAGUGUGGGGUGGUUCCUGCCUUAGCUGAUAUCGCUGCAGAAACCUCUCUCCACAGCCUGGUCAUGGGCUUGGCACCUGCCGCAAGAAAUUGGACCUGUAGCAUGUGCAAUGGUUCUGAAGCCUGUGACCAAUCCUCCCACUGCCAUCAAAAUAAAGGGUGGUUCUGAGACCUAUUUCAACUUUUUUUU
This 752-nucleotide long non-coding RNA is filed under the name Equus caballus (horse). RNAcentral's name for it is "lncRNA (ENSECAG00000033634.3)". Lineage: Eukaryota; Metazoa; Chordata; Mammalia; Perissodactyla; Equidae. The record is from RNAcentral.